AUUGAACGCUGGCGGCAGGCCUAACACAUGCAAGUCGAGCGGAUGAAGGGAGCUUGCUCCUGGAUUCAGCGGCGGACGGGUGAGUAAUGCCUAGGAAUCUGCCUGGUAGUGGGGGAUAACGUCCGGAAACGGGCGCUAAUACCGCAUACGUCCUGAGGGAGAAAGUGGGGGAUCUUCGGAACUCACGCUAUCAGGUGAGCCUAGGUCGGAUUAGCUAGUUGGUGGGGUAAAGGCCUACCAAGGCGACGAUCCGUAACUGGUCUGAGAGGAUGAUCAGUCACACUGGAACUGAGACACGGUCCAGACUCCUACGGGAGGCAGCAGUGGGGAAUAUUGGACAAUGGGCGAAAGCCUGAUCCAGCCAUGCCGCGUGUGUGAAGAAGGUCUUCGGAUUGUAAAGCACUUUAAGUUGGGAGGAAGGGCAGUAAGUUGAUACCUUGCUGUUUUGACGGUACCAACAGAAUAAGCACCGGCUAACUUCGUG
RNAcentral lists this ribosomal RNA (484 nucleotides) under uncultured bacterium. Its description in RNAcentral is "partial 16S ribosomal RNA". It matches the Rfam family "Bacterial small subunit ribosomal RNA", at positions 30 to 507 of the family's 1533-position model. The record is from RNAcentral.